Molecule: ribosomal RNA, 540 nt
Filed under: Triticum aestivum (bread wheat)
Lineage: Eukaryota; Viridiplantae; Streptophyta; Magnoliopsida; Poales; Poaceae
Description: partial small subunit ribosomal RNA
Source: RNAcentral
AUGAACCUUCGCCUACGGCAUCUAUUUUGUGGUUCCAGGUCGGCAACGGCUCUGAAGAUGAACAGCCUAUGGAAGAGGGUGAUCCCAUUGAAGAUUCAGAUUUCAGGUAAUGAGGAUGGAGAAGCUUCAAGCGAUGAUGGUGAAGGCAUUGUUCGCACUAGGGGGCUUUUGCUUAAUGAGACAGAGGAUGCUCAGCUACAAGGGCUGCUGCCUCUCAGUGAUGGUUUCAUCGGGUUUGCUUUUGUUCACCGCCUCACAAGGACUGACAUUCGCUUGGGCAUGAUGAAAAUACCCAAGAAAGUUGCUGCUGCCACGCCGUUUGAAGAACAGGGGGUUGUUGGUAUUUCUGUGGAUGGUCGGAGAUUCAAAAAAAUCUCAUACAAAACUGCUGAUGAUGGCCGCAUUGUGUUUGGCAGGAAGAAGUGGAAAGACUUCGCAGCUAGCAGAGGACUCAAAGUCAACACAGCUGUUCUUAUUGGCUUCAAGAGCAGCGAGAGGGAUGAUGUCCAUGUCCUGGUUAUCUUGAAGAAGCUUGGCUAG